RNAcentral lists this long non-coding RNA (1310 nucleotides) under Equus caballus (horse). RNAcentral describes it as "lncRNA (ENSECAG00000040528.2)". Lineage: Eukaryota; Metazoa; Chordata; Mammalia; Perissodactyla; Equidae. The record is from RNAcentral.
GCUGACUUCUGGACUCCAGCCCCCAAAUUUGCUUCACAGGCUUGGGACGGGGCACAGUAGUUUGUGUUCCUAAGAAGUUCCCAAGUGGUGCUAAUGCUGCCGGUCCGGGGACCACAUUUGAGAAGCAUGGGUGUAAUCACUGCUCCUUCUCUCCCCGUAUCUCACUCCACCCCAAUCCGAGUGAGAGUCGAAGGAAACCUGAAGCUGAAGCCUGCAGUGUUCCCACCGCCCGCUCACCAAGCUCAUCAUCUGACUGGUGAGUGAUCUCGCUCCAAAUCCCAACUUAAAGGCUGCUUUCUAGGCUCUGCAGCACAGCUGCUCUGGUCUGAGUCCCUCUGACAGGCAUGCUGGAGACAAGGACCUGGAAGUAUACAGUUCAUUGGGAAGGCAUCUCAGAAAACAGAAGGAAGGUCAUGGGAAAGAACGACGAAAAAGAGUUCCUGGACGAUGAAGACUGUGUUACCAAGUUGGUUACUACCGCGAACAACGGAGAGACUCUCUCCCUGUGGUUACUAUCUGAGGAAUCACGUAGAAUUUGCCCCAGAAUUAACCCCCCAGAGAAUGGGGAGCUGGAGCACCUAAAUCCCCUCUCAUCCCUCAUUAUUUGAAACUUCUUCCUGAGACGUUAAUUCCUUCAUACAUUUUGUGAUCCUGCAAGCCCACAGACACAACAAAUUCACAACUACUCUUGGAACAAUUACUCCUUAGAGGGAACUGAAAACUGGGUUUAAAAAAACCCCUACAACAAGGGACAGUGCUGACUGAGGUGGAAGAGGAAGAAAUUCCUUCCUGGAGAGAAAAAAGCCGCCUUUGCGAGCCAUGGUGCUUCAUGGCUGGCCAGGAGCAAUCCUAAGGGACAUACAUCAUCGUCGAGCUGGAAGUGUUAUUUCACAGAUGAAGCAGACCAGAACCAGCUUGGUAACCCAUUCUCGUGAUGCGGAGAGUGAUACAAUUUCCAGUUGGGAAAUUUCACCCAGAGCUUGCUGCUUUCUUCUGAUUUUACUUCUCAAUAUCUGAAGUAUUUAUUUAAUUUUUUUCUGUCUUAUUGGACUAUAAAAUCAUGGAGUAUGAGGAUUAAGUCAUCUUUCCAUCUUUUUCCUAAGUCACAUAAACAAAUUCCAAUCCCUGCGCUCAUUUCUCAAAUUGAACAAGAGUAAAGAAGGCCAACAGCCAACUACAUCUUAUCAAGAAGAGUUUCUUAGAAAUAAGAUUAAAAUGGAAACAGACUUUUAAAGGAGAAACGGCUGCAUCCAUUUAUUGCAUUUUAUUGUCUACAGACUGUCAAGAGUAUACUGGAUGUGAGAAUUCAG